RNAcentral lists this ribosomal RNA (1961 nucleotides) under Escherichia coli 2-460-02_S3_C3. RNAcentral's name for it is "bacterial LSU rRNA". It matches the Rfam family "Bacterial large subunit ribosomal RNA", at positions 983 to 2925 of the family's 2925-position model. Lineage: Bacteria; Pseudomonadati; Pseudomonadota; Gammaproteobacteria; Enterobacterales; Enterobacteriaceae. The record is from RNAcentral.
GACACACGGCGGGUGCUAACGUCCGUCGUGAAGAGGGAAACAACCCAGAUCGCCAGCUAAGGUCCCAAAGUCAUGGUUAAGUGGGAAACGAUGUGGGAAGGCCCAGACAGCCAGGAUGUUGGCUUAGAAGCAGCCAUCAUUUAAAGAAAGCGUAAUAGCUCACUGGUCGAGUCGGCCUGCGCGGAAGAUGUAACGGGGCUAAACCAUGCACCGAAGCUGCGGCAGCGACGCUGAUGCGUUGUUGGGUAGGGGAGCGUUCUGUAAGCCUGCGAAGGUGUGCUGUGAGGCAUGCUGGAGGUAUCAGAAGUGCGAAUGCUGACAUAAGUAACGAUAAAGCGGGUGAAAAGCCCGCUCGCCGGAAGACCAAGGGUUCCUGUCCAACGUUAAUCGGGGCAGGGUGAGUCGACCCCUAAGGCGAGGCCGAAAGGCGUAGUCGAUGGGAAACAGGUUAAUAUUCCUGUACUUGGUGUUACUGCGAAGGGGGGACGGAGAAGGCUAUGUUGGCCGGGCGACGGUUGUCCCGGUUUAAGCGUGUAGGCUGGUUUUCCAGGCAAAUCCGGAAAAUCAAGGCUGAGGCGUGAUGACGAGGCACUACGGUGCUGAAGCAACAAAUGCCCUGCUUCCAGGAAAAGCCUCUAAGCAUCAGGUAACAUCAAAUCGUACCCCAAACCGACACAGGUGGUCAGGUAGAGAAUACCAAGGCGCUUGAGAGAACUCGGGUGAAGGAACUAGGCAAAAUGGUGCCGUAACUUCGGGAGAAGGCACGCUGAUAUGUAGGUGAGGUCCCUCGCGGAUGGAGCUGAAAUCAGUCGAAGAUACCAGCUGGCUGCAACUGUUUAUUAAAAACACAGCACUGUGCAAACACGAAAGUGGACGUAUACGGUGUGACGCCUGCCCGGUGCCGGAAGGUUAAUUGAUGGGGUUAGCGCAAGCGAAGCUCUUGAUCGAAGCCCCGGUAAACGGCGGCCGUAACUAUAACGGUCCUAAGGUAGCGAAAUUCCUUGUCGGGUAAGUUCCGACCUGCACGAAUGGCGUAAUGAUGGCCAGGCUGUCUCCACCCGAGACUCAGUGAAAUUGAACUCGCUGUGAAGAUGCAGUGUACCCGCGGCAAGACGGAAAGACCCCGUGAACCUUUACUAUAGCUUGACACUGAACAUUGAGCCUUGAUGUGUAGGAUAGGUGGGAGGCUUGAAGUGUGGACGCCAGUCUGCAUGGAGCCGACCUUGAAAUACCACCCUUUAAUGUUUGAUGUUCUAACGUUGACCCGUAAUCCGGGUUGCGGACAGUGUCUGGUGGGUAGUUUGACUGGGGCGGUCUCCUCCUAAAGAGUAACGGAGGAGCACGAAGGUUGGCUAAUCCUGGUCGGACAUCAGGAGGUUAGUGCAAUGGCAUAAGCCAGCUUGACUGCGAGCGUGACGGCGCGAGCAGGUGCGAAAGCAGGUCAUAGUGAUCCGGUGGUUCUGAAUGGAAGGGCCAUCGCUCAACGGAUAAAAGGUACUCCGGGGAUAACAGGCUGAUACCGCCCAAGAGUUCAUAUCGACGGCGGUGUUUGGCACCUCGAUGUCGGCUCAUCACAUCCUGGGGCUGAAGUAGGUCCCAAGGGUAUGGCUGUUCGCCAUUUAAAGUGGUACGCGAGCUGGGUUUAGAACGUCGUGAGACAGUUCGGUCCCUAUCUGCCGUGGGCGCUGGAGAACUGAGGGGGGCUGCUCCUAGUACGAGAGGACCGGAGUGGACGCAUCACUGGUGUUCGGGUUGUCAUGCCAAUGGCACUGCCCGGUAGCUAAAUGCGGAAGAGAUAAGUGCUGAAAGCAUCUAAGCACGAAACUUGCCCCGAGAUGAGUUCUCCCUGACCCUUUAAGGGUCCUGAAGGAACGUUGAAGACGACGACGUUGAUAGGCCGGGUGUGUAAGCGCAGCGAUGCGUUGAGCUAACCGGUACUAAUGAACCGUGAGGCUUAACCU